RNAcentral lists this ribosomal RNA (425 nucleotides) under uncultured bacterium. RNAcentral describes it as "partial 16S ribosomal RNA". It matches the Rfam family "Bacterial small subunit ribosomal RNA", at positions 354 to 796 of the family's 1533-position model. The record is from RNAcentral.
GUGGGGAAUCUUGCGCAAUGGGCGAAAGCCUGACGCAGCCAUGCCGCGUGAAUGAUGAAGGUCUUAGGAUUGUAAAAUUCUUUCACCGGGGACGAUAAUGACGGUACCCGGAGAAGAAGCUCCGGCUAACUUCGUGCCAGCAGCCGCGGUAAUACGAAGGGGGCUAGCGUUGCUCGGAAUUACUGGGCGUAAAGGGCGCGUAGGCGGACAGCUUAGUCAGAGGUGAAAGCCCAGGGCUCAACCUUGGAAUUGCCUUUGAUACUGGCUGUCUUGAGUUUGGGAGAGGUGAGUAGAACUCCGAGUGUAGAGGUGAAAUUCGUAGAUAUUCGGAAGAACACCAGUGGCGAAGGCGACUCACUGGCCCAAUACUGACGCUGAGGCGCGAAAGCGUGGGGAGCAAACAGGAUUAGAUACCCGGGUAGUCC